GGGAUACAAAAUAUAAAAAAGUGAAACAUCUAUCGAUAGCCCAAUACAUCUGAUACAGGUAUGUUGUUCCUCCAUAUGCAUUGCAAUAUUCUAUCCAAUCUAUCCAUCCUUGCAGUUCAACAGAAAGAUGAACAUAUUGGAAGGACUCAGUUUGGUGGUCUAGGUACUCACCUGGUAAGAUCCAGAUGCACGUGGGUGCAGUGUUUGGCAGAAACCCAGAGAAACCAGAUGGGUCCUGCAUGGUUGUCCUUACAGGGAACAGCAGCCUGACGCUUGGAGGUGCCAAAGAUGUAGAAGAGCAUCCAGGCAAUAUUGAUCAGCAUCACAACAACAGAUACUUCAGUCAUGAUUAAACAAGGAUGGAUGAAUUCCUGUAGCAUGAAUGGGAAAAGAGGAGAGACAGCCCACUGAAUCAG
This is a long non-coding RNA of Anolis sagrei ordinatus, 416 nucleotides long. RefSeq lists it as uncharacterized. NCBI's taxonomy places the organism in Eukaryota, Metazoa, Chordata, Lepidosauria, Squamata, Anolidae. The record is from RefSeq and is a predicted model, not a curated record.